GUGGACCCCAUCGUGUGGCUGAGAUGCAGGAUGCCAGCACCCCUGCACCCGGGUCUGCAGGGCCUCCCCUCACCCAGGGGGAGAGGAAGCAAGUCAGGCCCCUGGCUACACCUCCUGCUGACUCCGGCUCAGCGACACCCCAGGUGCCAGCCGCAGACACCAGCUCCAGCCGACUGAAGCAGAAAAGAGAUCUCAGGAGAGGAUGCUGGGGUGCAGCUUCCAUUUGCGCAGAAACAGGUCCACAGAGACUCCUGGCUCCCUUUGCCAGACACAGUGGGUCAGAAUGGGGUCCCCUCAAAAUCACGUCCACCUGGAACCUCGGGUUGUGAUUUCAUUCGAAACUAGGGUGUUUGCAGAUGUAACUAAGUCACGGUCGUCCUGGAUGAGGGUGGGCUCUAGAUGCAAUGACCAGCAUCCUGGGGAGAGCAGAGACGCACAGAGAGGGGAGGCCGUGUGCAGACAGAGGCAGAAACUGGAGAGGUGUGUCCACAGGCCAAAGGACCUCAAGGACUGCCGGGAGCCAGUGGGAGCUGGGAGAAGCCUGGGGAGGAUCCUCCACCAGAGCCUCUGGAAAGAACCACUCUGCUUACGCGUUGACUGCAGACUUCUGGCCUCCAGGAUCCAGACAACAUAAAUUGCUGUCCUUUGAAGCCACCGCGUUUGUGGUGCUUUGUUAGGGUGGCCCUGGGAAAGUGACACCCAGCCUGAGCGUGGGGACCCCAGGAACGAGAAGGUGUGUGAGACGGAGGCUGGGAGGGCUCCCCGGCCACACAGAGGACAGCAAAGGCCUGGUGUUGAGCGGAAAUGGCUCCUGGCACCAGGGGACGCUGGCGGCAGGGACGACAGAGGUCUGAGUCGCUCCGGACUUUCUCUGCCACGUCAACUGGGUGGAACGCGAAGUCUUGUGUGAUUGUGUACAAUUGUCAAAAACCUCAUCACACUGAACACUUACAAUUGGUGAACGCUGUUAAAUGAUACCUCACUAAAGCUGCCUUUAAAAAAAAAAGAGAGAGAAUUUACAGUUAUUGAAAUAAAGCAAGCAUGAUAUUGGUGCACGUGGAAGGCAGAAUUCUAAAAAUCACAGCCGUCAGAAGGGAAAAAUUAAACACACAGGCAGUAUCAACGGCAGGGAGAACACGGAGCAGCGGGAACCGGGGUUCCGAAGCCGGGCGUGCUGGUUCCUGGGGUGGGAGGCUGAAAACAGGCAUUGAUGGACUGACUUUCUCUCUUUUAUUGGAGUGACGGCCGCGUCACUGCCAUCUCCACCUCAGCAUUCACAGUGCCUCUGUGUCCCCAUGUGUGUCUCAUCAUAAAGACGAGUGCGGUUGCGUUAACGGCCCACCCAGAUAAUCCAGGAUAAGCUCCUCUCAAGACCCUCGAUCGCAUCGUUUGCUGGAUAACAUAAUAUCUGCUGGUUCCAGAGAUUAGGACCUGGACCUGCCUCUGGGGGGCCACCACUCAACCCACUACGGGGGUGGGUACCAAUGUGUACAUCUGGCCUGGAAGAUAAUUUACCCCCGUGGGCAGAGAGCCCAGAGAAGUUUCUUGCACGGAGAAUAAGACGGUGGAUCCUCAAAAGAGGGGAGUGUCUCAGAGCAGGCGUUUACUCAGCAACGCGGCUAGACCCCAAAGCAUCCUGGUGAGCGAGAGGAAUUGCCUGAAGCAGCAUCCCCGCUCCAGCUCUGCUUCCGGGAACCUGAUCCGGGACCAGAGGCACCGAGGGGGCAGCGCAGGCGUGAGGCAGCCGACUCCACCAGGGGGCGCAGCAAAGAGGGACGGACAAUCAGGCAGAUCUGACACCACUUGGGAAGUUAAACGCCAACCGUUAACACCCAAUGCAAGGGGUAGGGCCCUUGGUCUUUUCCUUUGGGUCUUGAUUCAACUCCCUCGAGGCAGGCAGGGCUGAAAUAUGAGUAGACCCAUCUUCUCUGCCAACGGUCCUUCUGUCUGUCCACUGGGCUCCCUCCCCUCCUCCUGACAGCCAGCAGACCGCCCCAGCGCCCCGCUCCGCGCCCCAGGAUCACCCCCAGCACCGUCUCCUCGGGCGGGAGGAAUCCUGGAAUGCAGCAUAUUUCACUACUACAAGUGUCCACGGGAACCAUCGGUGCAAAGGCACCGGUCGACGCGCGGAGGUCAGCGCCUCGCGGUCCUCGUGGAAGCUUGUCCCCCGUGCCGCAACACACCACAGCCCACCUGAAGACGCGGCUCCGGGCUCAGGACCCCAGGGUCCUCGGAGGGGUCCGCACUGGCUCAGCGCUGAGCGCAGCCCAGGGGCAACUGCCCUUCCGUCCACCCCCGUCCCUCUCCGGCCGUUUCCUCCAAACCACCAGCUGUCCCAGAGCCCUUCGAGGGCAGGACCGUGUCUCCGGUUCGUCUCUGGACCCCUGGGAGCAUGGGGGGGGGGGCGGUGGGCACGGAGUGGGCGCUCAGUUUGCGGUCCCCAGACACGAACAGAGAACUGCGCGAGUGAGGGCGCGGCCACCAGGGGGCGGUCCCGGCCCGGGCACCCUGCUCCACAUCUUUGCUCUAAAUUUGAUCAAACCUUCAAAUAAGACCUGGACUAAAAAACUGUAUAGCACUACCAGAAACGGAAGACCAGCGUCACUUGUCAUAAACAAAUAGAAAGAAAACACAAAAGUGGAAAUGGAGUAGGCAGCCUUGUUGCAGAUUCUGACUGUGCACUGCUGUCCAUCAGGGUGACAGGCUGCCUCCAUCCCUGGACUCCGAGAAGAGGAAACAGCAGUGAGGCUCCAGUUUUCCCAGGGGGAGCUCUCCUGUCCACUGUGGAGCCAUCAAGGUGGGAAAGGUCGGUUCCUGAGAUGCCACUCCCCACCCCACUUCCCACCCCUGAGUCUGUGAGUCAGAGGCACUGGGACAUCCUGGGGGAAUGACAGAGAGAGUGCCCUCGAAGAGCUCAGUGAUACAGGGCAGUGGUCCUCACCAUCUCCCCAUGGAAUUCUCCAGGAGAGUCCCUGCCAAACCAAAUGGAUCCUUGUGGGUGUCGGUAACUUCAAUCGUAGAUGCCAUGCUGGUGUCUUUCCCAGGACAGAUCAACACAGCCUUUGGUUGUUGAUCUGGUGAAGCAUUCUUUCCAGUCCCCAUCAGAGAGCAGUGGAGCGGUGUGCGUUUACCUGGGAAGGACAACAGUGUGCACCCGUGGUCUUGCCCAUGGGCAUUGAGCCAUCUUGCAGAGCAUCCUAUUUGUCUGCUACACUGAUGACAUCAGGAUAACUGGACCUGAGGAACAAGUAUCUGGUAAGACACGUGCCUGCCAGGGGCAUGACACAUGGAUGAUGUUUUGAGGGUACAGUGCUUUGGGGGCAUGCUUUCCCUUCCAAGAUAAAGGACAACCUAUAGGUUAUACCUCCUGCCACCAAAAAAGAAGCACAGUGUUGAGUGGCACCUUUGGGUUUUGGAGGCAGAGUAUACCACGCUAGGGACUUCUGCUCCAGCCCAGUUGUCAAGCGAUAACUCGCUUAUCAUCCACCCAUUUUGAGUGGGGCCCAGAGCAAGAAAGGGAUCUGCAGCAGGUUCGGGCUGGUCCGAGUGGCCCUGCUGCUGGGGCGAUGUGACUUGGCACCGUGAGGGGUGGAAUCUUCCCAGGGCCUCACAGCCAGUCUGGGUAGAGCUGGUGCUGGAACUCUGUGCCCUGUGGCUGUGGCCCACCCAGACCCGCUGAGCAUUCGGCACACAGGGUCUCUAGGGCUGGGACACAGGCUGGGCCUUCUCCCAC
Molecule: long non-coding RNA, 3733 nt
Organism: Equus caballus (horse)
Lineage: Eukaryota; Metazoa; Chordata; Mammalia; Perissodactyla; Equidae
Source: Ensembl